GGCCUCCUAAAGUGCUGGGAUUAUAGGCAUGAGCCACCGCACCUGGCCUGUUUUUGUUUUUGAAUUUUGAAAUUUCUCAAUGUCUCUGUAGCAGAGACAUUAAGCUUCUUAAUGGCCUCUGUAGCAGAAGCCAUGGAAACACUCGAGGGCAGCACACUUGGUGUUUCUUUCAGCGGAUGAUUCUGUGUAUACAGUAGGAGCUGCGUGAUGAUCCACAGCCCUCCACACAUCACCCAAUGUUAGCCUGUUUUCCCGCACUCGGCUGCUUUGGGAAAAUCAACUUUUGUCCCUGAGUCUUUGAGAAGAGCUGACCCCCAGGAUCCUGAAGAUGCUCAAUGACUCAGUGAUUCAAAGGAAAACAUACUGUCCAAAACCGAAAUGCAUCCUUCCCUCAGAAUAGGCCCCCUCUCUAGGCCCUGGCAUUUGGAGUUCAAUACCUGCCUUUACCUGUGAAAAAUACCAUGGUGUCACUGUUGACAGUUAGUAAGAGGCUCAUAUUUCAGCAUGCUACAAUGAUGUGUUCGUUUAUUCCCUAUUAUACAUUUUCUAUUUAAAUGAGUAUCUGUCCUACUCCAAAAGUUGGUUCUGCCCUUAUAGUCUUAUCCAGUGGUUUUGUUGAUCACUGGAUAUUCAGAAAAGCAGCAAAUGUCUUCUGCCCAGUGUGGAAGAGGGGCUGAGGUCAGAGGAGUGUCGAGUGGGAAAAUAGAAGUGUUCAAGUGUUCGCAAUUUUCGUUAGCAUCUUGCUUUCAUCUUUCAGAGCUGUGGUUAGGCGUGCUCAGCCGGAGGUUGAUUGAUUGAUCUCUCUAAACCAUCUGAUGGGCAUGAGGAUGAGAAAAGGGAUACCUUUAGUUGACCAAAAGAUUAGCUUCAAAACAGGAGAACUGUCAGAUAAAACAGAAUGCCGUUGACAGCAACAAGGAAGCAGACACAGCGCAAACCCAGGUCAGCAAGGUGCCUGCAGACUGACAAGCAGCUGUUUGGGAUGAAGGAAAGCAGAGUUCAAAAAUAUACCCAGCAGGAAGCCAUUUGGAAGAACAGCUUCAGAGGGUCUGCUUUCACGUGGAAGCGUGCGGGGUUGCAGCCACGCAGGGGACACUGCAUCGCAGCCUCGCCAUGUGAGCUGCCCCUGCCAGUGCUGGAGUCAGGGCCAGUGGUCGCCUUGCCCUGCGCCUUCCCGGACAGCUGCGGCCUCUGUCACUCACGUGACUGGCUGUGGAACACAGUGACAGUGAGUGUGACCUAAAAGGCCAUGCUUCUCCAGGUAGACAUUCCUGAAGCCACAGGCUGAGUCGGCAGUGAGCUCACAAGAGAGGAGCAGGCACUGCAGGGGAAGGCAGCUGGCAGUGCUGAACUUACAGAAACCCAGCCUCACGUAAACCCCUAGGGCCUACCGUGGUGCCCUCCUGGGCUCUAGAUGUGGGGAUAAGAUAGAAACCACUCACUAGCAUGGGCCAUAUCUUCCAACUGUCCUUUCGGAGGGGAAGAAGUAUCCCAAAAGAGUGAUGGACCUCCCGAUUCCUGGACGCCAGGCCAGUUGGUGAAAGCCAACCCAUCAGGCUGCUAAGUUUACCAAAUCUGCUCUUUUACCCAAAGUGUGACUUUUUAAACUAUUUCUGAAGUUUAUAGUCAAUCAUAUUUUAAUAAACAGAAAAGUUUUUAACAGCUUUGGAUGCUUUUAGUUGAUUAGUUUCCAUUUUGAUUUCACAAUGGCAUUUUCAGAACAUUUGGUGUUUCUCUUCUCAAGCUCCCUGCUUCUCUGCUUUGGGGAGUUAGUGCCAAGAGAGGGGGCCCCUCAGCUUCAGGAGACAUAGAGAAGAAUCCAUGCAAAGCACAGGCUUGGCCUCUGCUAAGGCCCCCCCACACCCUUAGCACACAGUGGAAAUGGGCAUCUCUGCAGAUGGAUCUUGGCAAGCAGAGCCAGCCGGGCACUUUUGUGCAGUGUACAACCUACAUGACCAUACCCAGCACCCCCAGGAUGCCACACUCAGAGAAACUCAGAAGAGGGGAAGAACAAGGAUCAGGGAAAGGAGAGUGACUGAAUGUCAGAGAGAUGGAGUAGCAUGAAGGUCAGAAGGAGAAGGGAGAGAGACUGGUCAGAAAAAGAGGGGAGGUGACGAGUCAGAGAAGGCUGGAGCGGAUGGCAGAGGUGGGGGUGCAGACAGGGAGAACAUGGAGGCCUCAGAGACCCUGGGGCCCUCACAGCCCUUGGGGUCCUGCCAAUCCUUCCAGUAAAAAUUGCUAUAAACUUUAGAAGAGUUUAAAGGUGACAAGAUCUUAAAACUCAGAAAAUUUGACAAAUUGUUGGUUGGCCAGAUUGGUUAUCCACUGGUUGAUUUUUGGUGAGCUGACCUGUUUCAAGGUGGCAGGUGUGGAUGGGGCUCCGUCCAGGGCCGGCCCCUUACACCCACGUUCCGAUUACCCUGAGGUCAUGGGACUGUGCCACUGUGCCAGGGGCCCCAGACUGUAUCCACUGGCCCCCAAAUGACUGGCUUCCCUGGCUUCAACACAUGGAGGCUGCUUGGUGUGGUGGGGGUGGGGAGCUGUUGCUGUCACUUGAGGCAGAGAGAGAAGGAAGCCUGGCAGGGUGCCAUGCUGGCACGGUGUGCCAGUCAAACCACAUGGCACCACGCAGUAGGGUGCAAGCGUAUCUGAGGUCAGUGGCUGUUUGUAUUUAAGGAUCUAGUUCUUUUUUAGAAAUAAAGUUAAAAUAGGUUUUUACUCUGGAUCUUCCUGAGCCUUGUUUAUUGCAGCCUGUGGGUGGUUAAAGGGAGACCGUGAACCUGCAUCCAGCCCAGAACCUUCUAUCUUGAUUGGUAUGGGUUGAACUAGAUUCACCAAACACUCUUACAUUAAAGUCCUAACCCCCAGUACCUCAGACUUUGGAAAUAGGCUUAAAAUGAGGUUCUGGUAGGUAAGUAGGAUGGGCCCAUAAUCCCAUAUGAUUGGUGCCCUUUUUAGAGGAAGGAAUUUGGGCACAGACAUGCACACAGGGGAAGCGCCUUGUCAAGUUUGGAGUUCAGCUGCCUCAGCCCAGGAGCUACCAGAAGCCAGGGAAGGCCUCGAACAGACGCUCCCCCAGCACCUUCAGAGGGCAUGUGGCUCUGCUGUCUCCUUGAUUUCAGUCUCCAGAACUGUGGGAUAGUCAUUUUUUAUUGCUCAGAGUCACCCAGUUUGUGGUAGUUUGUUUUAGGCGCCUGGCAAGCUAGCAACUAUGAUUUCUGAAAGGAAGGAGUCUUCUUGUCAGUUAAGGCCACACGGAUUGAUUAACCAGACUUCUUACUAUUCAACUCACCUGUUUUUUGUUUUUAGAUUCUCCUUUUAGUUUCAUGAGACGUCUCUAUUAUUUUAUUUCCAGAUUCUCCAUUUGAGUAGAGGAUUUGCUUAGAAAUAUAAUACUUUUCAUGCAGUGUGGCCCUGUGUCUACAUUUUUUUAUUUUAGUUUUUAUUUUUUGUGGGUACCUAGUAAGUGUACGUAUUUAUGGGGAACAUGAGCUAUUUUGAUACUGGCAACCUGUGCCUGCAUUUACGUGCUUAAUGAUAUCUUUGCCGAAGGUUUCUGUGGGGAGAGGGGGUUGUUGACAUCGUAGCAUCUGAUAGAAGUUCCAGGGCUGGAUUCGGGUCACUUUGCUUCUUGCUUUUAUUCUGCUUUUUAUUCAUCAAAUAACGCAGUACCCCUCAGCAGUCUUUGCAGAGCCCGGGACUAACUUGUACCACUACAAACAUUCAAAACCUGAAAUAUUUUUCCAAUUUUCAGAAAACAAAGUUGCCAGUAUUCUAUUCAUUUGUGUUUACCCACCCCCCCAGAUUGCCUCAAAAUCUUGACUUCUUCUACUGUUUUCCACUUGAAUCUUAUAGAAAGGUAAUCUGAUUUGGCACAAAAUUAUAAAAAUUACUCAUUUCUCAGUUUAACGUAUCAAUACACACCCCUGUUCUGCCAGGAUCCCACGUGGGGCCCACCACCUGAAUGAGUUUGAAAGCAGCAGGGAAGACACCAUGUUUAUACCCUGGGCCUGCAGACACGCACUGCUUACCAGCCCCUCCAAGCCUGGAAGGAAGGGAAGCCUGGGCCCCGCGGACCCCUGCACCUGCCAAGCGCUGCCUGACCUGAGUCCCACCCUGCCCUGCUUUUUCGGCUUUCACUGCUGUGGAAGCAGAGAUAUCAUAGGGAGAGGUCAGUCACAAACUGCCCUUCCACACAAACAGCAAAGUCACUCAGUAGGGCUUCACUGGUAGACUUUCACAAUUAAUACCUUAUGAUUCCCUGUGGGUUUUUUUAAAAAUUGCUUUUAUUAGUCUCAGCUUAAAGACAGGGUUCAGAAAUCAGACAUCAGCCUGAAUAGGUGCUUAGGCCAGACACUCCCGACACAGAUGCACCAUCAACGUGGAGAAAGCAAGGAUGUGGUGCCCCUGACUUUUUGGCUUUCCGAGCCCAGUAUGGCUCUGAGACGCCCAGGGCUCCACACAUGAGUGCUUUCUCCAUGGCCUGAAACUCCCGAUGGCCUCCCAUUCACUUGGGUGCAGCAGGCAGGGAGCCCAGCAAAGCCCAUGUGAAUGAUCUCAAAAUACCUCAAAAAUUACCAAAUAGAGGUAAUUACACGAAGCAGUGUGUGAAAUGAGCACAGUGAGGACCUAAAACAGCUGAUUAGCAUGCUAAAUGGCCAUUUUGUAAGUUUAAUGAAGUAAGACAUCAUUUGACACAGGAACAAAUAAAACAAUCGAAAAACACUCUGUUCACAGGAGAGACCUCACUGGCUUCCCUCUCCCAGAGCCAGGGUGUCUCCUGCACCUAUGGGCAGCACGUAUAAAGUGCUCUUAGCUAAUCUGUGCUCUUUGCUCAAAAGGGUCUUCAUUUUCUCUUAAAGGGUCACUACUGUGUCCCCAGCUCUGGGUCAGAUGUCCCGCUUUCUUGGGCACAGUAAGGUAAACAGUUUUGAAUGGUGCCAUGAAAUUCUUCUAGGGUCUUUUUAUAUCUUCUGAGCCCAGUGCUAGCCUUAAAAAACCACAAAGCACUGCCAAGAAAUGGCACAUUUGGCAAACGACAGGGCCUCGAAACCUGCUCACUGUGAAUCGGGUGCCAGACAGUUGCCAGUAGCCUAUAGUCCUCCCUGGAGAUGUCUCUUAACUGAUGUGGCUAGAAGAGUGAACUGAUCGUUACCACAAAAGAAGUUUCCAGAGGGCCGGGGUGCACACACUGGAGCUGAUGCCACUCAUCUCUUGCAAAUUCCCACCUUUGAAACUGGAGGUGAGUUCAGAUGUGGGGCUGCCUGUCACGCCUGUGGCUCUCAUGACAUCUGACUGCCCUGUCCCUGUCUAUUGAUUUAAAGAGG
Molecule: long non-coding RNA, 5327 nt
Organism: Sapajus apella (tufted capuchin)
Lineage: Eukaryota; Metazoa; Chordata; Mammalia; Primates; Cebidae
Exons: 2
Source: RefSeq, a predicted model, not a curated record